This 1266-nucleotide long non-coding RNA is filed under the name Anser brachyrhynchus (Pink-footed goose). Its description in RNAcentral is "lncRNA (ENSABRG00000003918.1)". The record is from RNAcentral. Lineage: Eukaryota; Metazoa; Chordata; Aves; Anseriformes; Anatidae.
AAUGUUCAGGAAUCAGCAACUUUCUCUAUUUUGGGCAAGUUUUUGGAUGUCUGUGGGUGAGGAAUUGCAUGUCGUGUCUGCUAAAGUUCCUGGAUUUUACUGGGAGGAGGAAUUGCAUUUUUGUGUUUUUCUGGACUUUUACCCUUGGUUGUUCCUUGCUUGUUUUUGUUGAUAUUGAAGAAAAGAUUAUUGUAUUCUUUCCAGAGAUAAGAGGAAUGGUCUUUGGGCGGCGGAUGUGCUGUCUGACAUCAUUCAAAUGACAUCAACACCCAAACAGUGAGGAUCACAGCGUUAUGGCAAUUCAUCAUGCUCUCUGCCAGUUCAUCCUCUCUGAUACGCUGGGACAGUGAAUGUUAUUUGUUCAGGUUUGGUUCCUGCGGUGCUGUCUCCAGAUUUCCUUGGGACCAUUUUUCUCCUGCUGGUACACAGCAUGUUUCCAAAGACACACUGGUCCUUGAAGUUGCACUGCAGUUCUCUUGUCUCCCAAGUGAUUUGUAUACACAGUUUUCUCUAUAGGAAAUAUUAUUCAUUAUCUAGAAUUAUUUUUUCCACAGUUGAUGAGUUGAUGGAAUGAUUAUUUCCAUUCUAUCAAAACAAGAAAAGCAGGAGAGAAAUCUGUCUUCUCUCUGUGUACCAUGCUACUCCUGAAAGUGAUGGUACAUUUGUCUAGGUGUAAUAGUUAAAAGAUCAGUCAAAGUGCAUCAAUUGUGGGCCUGUUUGGGGAAACAAAAAUCUUUUCUUAUGUUCAGCUGCACUAGAAGAGAGUAGUGUUGUUUCUGUGGGGCUGGAGCACCGGUGGUGUUUAUGUGGCUCCAUCAGCAGGCCACUUCCAUCAGCUCUUUGUGAUUCAGAACAGCCUGGCCUCCUUAGCUCCUUUUUUAAGGACCUCACCAUAAUAGAUGUCUUGCAGGGUUUGCAUGAAUGACCUCCAGUCUACUGUGUCCUGUUUGAAAGCUGCCGGUGACUCUUCCUUGUUCGUUAGUCACUAAUUUAAGUUCUGAAGAACUUGCUGCUUAUGAUACCGGUGGGGUGAUUCAAGGUUGCUUAGUUGUGGUGUUUCAUGAGAAUCACCACUUUUCAUUAAGGGAGAGGAAAGAAGUAAAUAUCUAGUGCUCUAAAUGAUUCCAGAAAGCAAGCUGAGCAUGCAGAGCUGCAGGGGCAAAAUUCAGAAGACAAGUUAAGACUCUGUAGCCUUUAAAAUGAUGUUAGCUAUUAUUUUUAGAUGUCAUGAUGUUUUUAAUGAACUCCUGAAUUUUUAGAGCCUGA